CUGCUGCCUCAUCAACUGUAUCGUCUGCUCCAUCUGUACCAUCCACUCCAUCAUCUAAAUUUAGAAGUGCUGAUAGUCAUCGACGCAUGCAGCCAACUCUUGAGCUCGCUGUCGAUCCUCGACAGCUUGCCUCCGCACCUCCAUCAGUCGAGCUUCGCAUGCAGAAUGGAUGUCCAUCCUAGAUGUGCGUGAAGAUGAAAGAGUAGUGAUCCCAUACCCUAGACCCCUAACAUAAUAGGGUCUCGUACUGAGCACCCGAUCACAGAUCUCAUC
This 273-nucleotide long non-coding RNA is filed under the name Elaeis guineensis (African oil palm). Its description in RNAcentral is "long non-coding RNA (EGUI_LNC031007)". The record is from RNAcentral. Lineage: Eukaryota; Viridiplantae; Streptophyta; Magnoliopsida; Arecales; Arecaceae.